UACGGAGGGAGCGAGCGUUGUUCGGAAUUACUGGGCGUAAAGCGCACGUAGGCGGGUUCUUAAGUCGGUGGUGAAAUCCUGGAGCUCAACUCCAGAACUGCCUUCGAAACUGGGAAUCUUGAGUCCGGGAGAGGUGAGUGGAACUGCGAGUGUAGAGGUGAAAUUCGUAGAUAUUCGCAAGAACACCAGUGGCGAAGGCGGCUCACUGGCCCGGUACUGACGCUGAGGUGCGAAAGCGUGGGGAGCAAACAGG
This 253-nucleotide ribosomal RNA is filed under the name uncultured bacterium. RNAcentral describes it as "partial 16S ribosomal RNA". It matches the Rfam family "Bacterial small subunit ribosomal RNA", at positions 524 to 776 of the family's 1533-position model. The record is from RNAcentral.